This 207-nucleotide ribosomal RNA is filed under the name uncultured bacterium. RNAcentral describes it as "partial 16S ribosomal RNA". It matches the Rfam family "Bacterial small subunit ribosomal RNA", at positions 524 to 721 of the family's 1533-position model. The record is from RNAcentral.
UACGUAGGGGUGCAAGCGUUAAUCGGAAUUACAUGGGCGUAAGCGUGCGCAGGCGGUUAUGUAAGACAGUUGUGAAAUCCCCGGGCUCAACCUGGGAACUGCAUCUGUGACGUAGCAUGAGCUAGAGUACGGGUAGAGGGGGAUAGGAAUUCCGCGUGUAGCAGUGAAAUGCGUAGAUAGUGACGGAGGAACACCGAGUGGCGAAGG